This 690-nucleotide long non-coding RNA is filed under the name Panax ginseng (ginseng). RNAcentral's name for it is "long non-coding RNA (PGIN_LNC012155)". Lineage: Eukaryota; Viridiplantae; Streptophyta; Magnoliopsida; Apiales; Araliaceae. The record is from RNAcentral.
UUAUAAUUAUAAAAUGCUACAUAUAAAAAAUAUUAUUAAUCAUGCAUUUCAAAGAUGGACCCAAUUUUUUUAAUAGGAAUAGGAGGCAUAUGGAAAGAAAAGAAUUUUAAAAAUCGCAUUAUUAGAAAGUAAUUGUGACACCCCUAAAAUAGGUAUAUAUUACCUAUUUUGAGUUGUCAAAUACAAGGUACAGAAAUAACUACAACUUUAUUUUUACAACAUAUAAACUGUGAAUUUAAAUACAGAUAUUGCCAUCUAGACAAUAUUCACAUACAAAUAAAUUCUCAUCAUAAUUAUUGAUACAUUAUUUUACAAAAAUGGUGAGGACUACUAAACAACUCUCUAAAACCAUCAUUCCAUACCCCGACUCGUACUCGCAAUUUAAUAGAAUACAAUAGACAACAAGUUUUAAAUCAAUACUCGCAGCGAAAAAUAUUAAUUCAUAGAAGAGUUACGUAGAGGAUGAAAUCUACUAAUAUCUAUGAAUUUAACAGUCCAUCAUCAAUAUUUUUAUCCCUGUAACAUCAAUUAAUAUAUAUCUGAAAUUAUAUAUUCAUCCUUGCACUACAGGCCAAUGACAUUCACCAGUUGGUCAUGUUCAUCAAACACCUGUUCAUUUUUGCACUACGGGCCAAAGAUAUUCAUCAGAAAUCAUUCAUCUUUGCACUACAGGCCAAAGAUAUUCAUCAG